UCUCCAGACUCCUACGGGAGGCAGCAGUGGGGAAUAUUGCACAAUGGGGGAAACCCUGAUGCAGCGACGCCGCGUGAGCGAUGAAGUAUUUCGGUAUGUAAAGCUCUAUCAGCAGGGAAGAAAAUGACGGUACCUGACUAAGAAGCCCCGGCUAACUACGUGCCAGCAGCCGCGGUAAUACGUAGGGGGCAAGCGUUAUCCGGAUUUACUGGGUGUAAAGGGAGCGUAGACGGUCCUGCAAGCCAGAUGUGAAAGCCCGGGGCUCAACCCCGGGACUGCAUUUGGAACUGUAAGGCUAGAGUGUCGGAGAGGCAGGCGGAAUUCCUAGUGUAGCGGUGAAAUGCGUAGAUAUAUGGAGGAACACCGGUGGCGAAAGCGGCUCUCUGGCCUGUAACUGACGCUGAGGCUCGAAAGCGUGGGGAGCAAACAGGAUUAGAUACCCGAGUACC
RNAcentral lists this ribosomal RNA (449 nucleotides) under uncultured bacterium. RNAcentral's name for it is "bacterial SSU rRNA". It matches the Rfam family "Bacterial small subunit ribosomal RNA", at positions 328 to 794 of the family's 1533-position model. The record is from RNAcentral.